CAAAAUUUAUGUGAAAUGUUAUUACCUUACUUCAACAGAAACUUAAGUUCAUUCGCUAUAGCAGUUGCAGCAUAAAAUGAUACUGAGACCAAAGACAAUCAGUGGCUUUCAUGGUGUGCAUCAAGAGAAUCAAGAUGAAAAAAAAAAGGAAAAGUUGCACUACACUUCUAAAGAAUCAAGAGUGGAAAUAUUUGGGAAUUGUGAAAAAGAGGACAUGACGUAGAUAUUUGGAAUAUACUCUACAUAGCCAACACUUCCACCCAGCUUUUCAACAACAACAACAACAACAACAAAAGGCUCCCUGCUCUCUCUGGUAUAAAUCAGCCCCAGUCACUCAACAGUCUGAAAGACACUGAGGCAAGGAUGGGUGAAAGACAAAGGUGGGCUCCUUCCCAGCUGUUCUGUGUGCCUUGGAUACCUCAUUUCAUGACCCAUUUCAAGGGCAGUUUAUAAAUGUUUAUGUGUCCUCAGCAGCUUUUGCACAUAAGGGUUUUUAGCAGUAAUUUGUAACAUUUAGUAAAUAUGUCAUAUCUCCACACAUGAUCCAACCAGAGCUUAGACAAGCCGAUGAGUAAUCAUUGUUGUCUGAAAACAUUUUUUCCUUCCUCUGUGAUGCAUAAAGAAUUCAUAAGAUCAUAGAGAAAAAGUUGAGUUACAGUCCUGAGAUUUAUGGUGAGUUGUUCAAUUUCACAGUGAAGCAACGUUAUCCCAUAAACACUUCACUUCAUCAACUGCUUGGUUGAAUUAUUGUUGCCAGAAAUAUGCUUGCUAAUUACUGUCUUUUCUACUGAUUCUGAUGUUGCUGGAUUCAUUUUAACAGUAUGCAGUAUCUGUGUUUUGUUAAAAUUCUUUCUAUCAGUUAAAAUAUGUUUGUGUGACACAUUUGUGUUCGUAUUUGUACAUUUUCUAAUUAUAUGGUUUCCAUGCACACAAAUGAAAUAGUAGUUAUCCUACAUUAACUGUGGGUUAACUGCUUACAAUGCAUUCUAGGAGUGUAAUUUUUUCUAACAAAAACAAUGCAGUUUGCAGCAUAAAAAUGGGUGGAGAUAACAGACAAAUUGAAACUAGAAGAUUAUAACGAAGGCAAAGUUAGACCCUCAGAAAGUGCUUUUGAAAACACAUCUUGUUGCUAUAUAAAUCUAGGCAGAUAUCAUUUUAAAAUACAUCUUCUAGCACUGAUGAGAAAUGUCUAAAUUUGCCUUUGCUGGUUACCCUUCUUAUCUGCAACCAUCACACCUGCAGCUUGUUAUCUAUUGCAGGGUAAAGUAGUUAUCUAGUUAUAUAACAGUCUUUGCCUUCUCUGUGAAUUGGCAGCUUUGUCAAGGAACUCUCUAACUCAUCACAGACAGAAUCCCAAGUGUAAAUUAACAUCUCUGCCAUGUAGACGAUAAAAUGGUGACGGAAAAGGGGCAAAGAAAUCUGAAAGUGUAGAUGUGCUUUCUGUGACAAUUCUGAACAAUUGAUUGUUAAUCAAAUUCCAGCUGAACAGGGAUAAUUUAAGGCUAUCUAUCCUUCCAGAGAUGCAUUUCUGUAAAGCUAGGUUAUCUUCAACUCUGAAAUCUCAGAUCAGAUGUAUAUGUAUGAAAGUCUCAUCUAAGUUUCUAUUCUACAGCUUGAUAUAGACUUCCUACUAAAUGUCUAUAGCCGACGGGCACAAAUAACUUGAGGUAAUAAUGAUGAUGAUAAUAAUAAUAAUAAAUUCAUCUGUGAUUUAUCCAUAAAUAUUGCACAUGUAUACAAAAAUGACAUAUGUAAUAUGUUAACUUGGAUCUCAGCUUAAACUAUCUUCAGACUCAGGGUUUCCGAGUUUUGGUUAAUGGCCAAAUUUUAUAAAAAAUACAUAAGAUUAUACCAGUGAACCCUGAAGGUACUGUUUCUUUCAAUUCAAUGACAUGCAGAAUAAAUUAUAUAUAUUUUCAUCCCACGUUUCCAAUACAGGGUCUAAUGACUUAUAUCUUGAUGGACUUAUGGACAAUGCACAUUGAAUUAAAAGCCUCAAUUUAUAGUAAGAAGAUAUAAUAAGAUGUCCUCUAACUGUAACCUUUUAUUAAGAGACAUUAAGGCUCCUUUAAUAACCAUCUUGUCGAUUGUGAUUUUCAUCAGUUGUCAGUCUCCUCUCAUACACCAUUCCACAUGUACCUAGUGGUUCUGACAGUUAUUCAGAUGGGAAGGGUGGGGUUAGAAUUUGUCUUAGGAAGAAAAUGAAUAUUUUGCACUGGAAAUAGAGUAAUGCAAUAUUAUCAAUGAUGUGUAGACUAGAGUUCAGUUAGCAUAUAAAUCAACUACAUUCUUAAAGCUCCAUUCUCAAAUAAACAAAACCUUGGUAUUUUUUAUACUUUGACACAACAAAAAUAACUUAUUAUAUUACAAAAAUAAUUUAUCAUUAAUGAAUCAUCUUCUUUUGACAGAAAAUUGGCAAAUGUUAGAUUACACAAUGUACUUAACAAAGCUGUGUACAGUCUCCAGAGAAUAGAAACAAUAUUGCAUAUAAAAUCAUCUAAUAAAAAAUAAUAAUCUCAGCUAUUAAUUGUAAAUUAUGGUGUGGGAUGAUUAAAAACAAAUGGGGUUGGAGGAGUUGUUCAAGAUGGAGACAUCAAGUCUGUUUGAAAUCUGUACUGUUAACUAUGUUUGUCAGAAAUGCAUUACGUCUUCAACAUAAGAUUGAGUACUUAGCUCAAAUUGUACUGAAUAUUUAUACUAAAAUGUUUUGUUAACUAUUUAAACCUAAAAAGUCAUGCAAGUGCUACAAUAACUUUAUCUCAUGCUUCCUCCCAAUAUUCCAUGUAGUGACUAUAUCCUGGAUCAGUACAUUUUACUGUAUUUCAUAUUGAAUGUUUCCUUUAUCAAAAAAUCCAAAAGUGCAUUUAUUCCUAGGACGAGUCCAAUGUAGGGUGACAAAGAUGAUGAGGGGCUUGGAGCAUGUCGCUUAUGAAAAAAGUUUAAAGACCUGAGUCUGUUCAGUCUGGAGAAGAGAAGGUUGAGAGGGGAUCUCAUCACUGUUUAUAAACAUCUAAAAUGAGGGAGCCAAGUCGAUGGGGACAGACUCUUUUUGGUUGGAUGUAGCAAUAGAACAGGGAGCAAUGGGCAGAAACUGGAAGGCAGGAAAUUCCAUAGUAACACAAGGAAGAAUUUCUUCACUGCCAGAGUGACAGAGCACUGGAAUGGGCUUCUCAGAGAGGUGGUGGAGUCUCAUUCUCCAGAGAUAUUCAAGACCCAUAGAUACAAAAUACCCAUUUAGACACCUACCUGUGCAACCUGCUAUAGGAUACCUGCUUUAACAGGAGGCUGGAUUCAAUGAUCUCUAGUGGUCCCUUCCAACCCCUACAAUUCUAUGAAUAUAUGAUUCUGUGAUAUUUCAGUUCCUCUGUACAGUUAAAAAAAUACAUUCCACAAGAUACUCUUAUUGACACCUUGAUUUUAUUUCUAUUUGUAUUAUUCUUAUUUUACUUUUUCAGAUGAACCUACACUUAGACUAUUAACAUAACAAAAACUGUCAUGGCAGGAAAGAAUUCUGGUCUGGCACUUGGCCCUACAUCCAUCUGCAGAGUGGCAGUAUAGAAGAAUUUAGGUGCAUAGGAGUUCUGGAUGACAACUAAUCCCAGCUCCUUCUCACAGCAGUGCUAACUUCAUUACAAGGUCAGGGCACUGCUCUGAGCCUCAUCCAUUGUUUUACUCUAUGAAGUUACUGAGCAUGACCAUGCUGAUAAUGGCAAGGAAAAGUGUCUGCAUUGAAGCUGAGACUGGACAAGGAGGAAUGGAUUUUGUCUUCAUGUUUAAUAUUUGUUUUCUUUUGCUGUUUUUGUCUUCCAAAUAUGCAAUUAAAUAUUUAUAUUCAUUGGUAAUAAGUCAAGUUAAUUUCCCAAAUUUGAGUCUAUUUUGACGCUGGCAGAAACUGGGAAGUGAUUUUCUUGUCUUUACCCUGACUCACAAGCUUUCUUGAUCCCUCCUGUUCUUCCUCUCCUCUCCCCAGUCCAACUGCAACAGGGAUAAAUUGGAGACCGACAGGGUGGGUGCUUGUUUUCCAGGCAAGGCCAUCCCACCACAUCUUUCUAAUAAUGAAAAACAGCGGAAGGCUAAAGGCAAAGCAGGAUAAUAAAAAAUGUCAUCCCAUAGGACUGGUAGGGAAUUAUGGGAUCAUUAUCUAGCACUAACUGCACUACAACUCUGUUGUUGUUAUGUUAUACAAAGGAAAUGUGUUGAAAUGUCAAGAGAUUUGUUCAUUUUCCCAGGACUCGAGCUGGUUAUAUGAGCUGAAAAUGUUCAGACAUAGAUUUGCAGGUAAUAAACUGGACUGUGAGGAAAGAAAGGAUAGGCAUAUACAGGAGAGAUGGAAAAGCUCAGUGGGUAUUUUGUAGAGCAGAAAUCCCAGUAUAUCUGUGGGAUCCAGAGUACUAAUCCUCCUUACUCUAACCAGCCAGGCUUAAGACAGAUGUAAAAAAUGUGAAAUUUUUCCUAUGAGCUGGAACAAAAUGAACAAUCAGCUUCUCUUCACCCUCUAACAGAGCCAGGAAAGCCAUCCAGCUGUGCUAAAGAUCCAACAGAACAGUGUCUAAUAGGGUAAGACUGCACCUACUGUCCUCAAAGAAGCUUGUCCUAAGACACACGUGUGUCUGUGUGAGGCAGGCAGUAACAGAAAGGGCCAGUGGAGUUAUCUCCAAACAAGCUAUUUGGCGAUGUAAAUGCAGUAUGGGUGUGCAGUUUGGGAUGAACAUAAACCUGAAUUCUCUCGUUAUUUCCCUGUUUAUUUCAGCAGCCAAAACUCUCAGUCAGGCAGUCAACAAAUAUCCAAAAGCAGUCUCUAUAAUUCAUAGGCUGUGCUUUCCACAUAUGCAGGACGCAUUAAGUCUGCUUUCCAUGUCCUACACACAUAACCUGUGUGCUUACAACAGCCACCUGAUUCAUUAUUUGUGAUGCAAAUUAACUUUACAUCAUGUGUACAUCUGCUGUGCUGCCUUGAACACACUGUUCCCAGUUUAGAGUUGAACUAGAUGCAUGUUGCACGUCUGUCUUGUGCAAGACAUGUCAGAACUAUGUAAACCAGUGCAAAUCAUUGGUGUACUGCAGGAAGCAUAGAUGUAACACAUCACAGCCACUUCAAGCAUAGCUGGCACGAGCUUUGUGACAUACACAGAUGUAUUUCAGCCAGAACCGAUCAGUCUUACAGAGAAGCUUUGGAUGUCUGAAGCUGAGGAAUAGAUCAAAUCGUCAGCUCUGCUGAUCAACUCUGGGAUAAACAUAGUUUUUUCUAUUCGGGACUUCACUGUCCACUGUUAGUGCCCACAUCACAGAGAAAUGUCAUAAAUGCUUUAAAAUGUGGAGACCUAUGUUUGAACUGUGGAGUCUGUGUCUGAUUUAUGUUUUAAUUUCCUCAGAAUUCCUAUUUGCAGCACAUUUUAUACAGGGCUGCAUUUCCUAUCCUUAGUCUUAUUUGGAAGGUCAGAGGUUUCUGCUUUCAGUGUCAGUAUGAAUGAUAAUUGCUACUGGUGUAUUAUGUUCCUUCAUUUUCUUUACUAACCAUAUUUCCCAUCCACAUGUAUGUGUAAUACCAGAGAUGCAAGUAGCACAAGACAUCUGAGGGCAUUUGUUCUCUGUGGUAAAACAAUGAGGGUAUCAGAUGUCUAGUAGUAAUUUCAGUGUCCAGAUGACAUACAGUGUUAGAACAGUAAAGCCAUCAUAUAAAAACAGCUAAUGAAGAUCUAAAAGCUACAAUGAAAUGCAGUGUGUGUGAAAGGCUGCUAAAGAAUUGAAUGCCUCGUAUGCCUUGUGAGCACCAUAAAAAGCUGUAUGGGGGCAGGGGAGCAGGUGAAGCCUAUUGCUUAUUCAUUUUUCUUAAUCAGCAUAAUCAUCAGAGGUGUUCAUCAGAAACUAAACUCCUGUAUACAUAAAUAACACUGAAGUAACAGGUCUUAUUUUAUGGAUAUCUAUCUUUGCUUUCUAAUAUUAAAUCAACAGCUGGUAUCCUAUGCUUUAUCAACUUGACUGCAGAGCCUUAUUUUGUGUUUAACAUGGACAAAUGGAGUGUCAGUUUGUAUGUUAAGAUAGCACAGCACCAUGACUACUACCAUGUCUUGUAACAAGCACAGUCUCGACCAGUCCAGUAAUCUAAUGAACUAUGUUUGCCUCCUUAUAGUUAUUUCAUAUUUCUAAUUUGAAGAUGAGAAUCGCAGUGAAAACUUUGGACAUACUUCUGAUUCAAUAAGCCUAUAAAAAAUGUAGAAAAGAGUAACACAGAGAAGAUUCAUGAAUGGCUCCAAGGAAAGAGACACUGGUUAUCAGCAUCUUGUGCAAGGGAUUGGCAUCAGUCCCACGUUCCAGUGAGUCCUCUGCCACACGGCUGUUCGAUGAUCUUGCAAGAAACUCAGGCUGUAUUUCUAAAACAAUGGCUUUGAAUCUGCAGUCCAAAAAUCCCUGAGAGUUCACGGCCCUUUUCUGGAAAUGUGAAGUUAACAAGAUAAUUCUCAAGAAGCAUAAAGUUGAUAUGCUGCCAUCUACAGCUUCACUGGAAAAAGAUUUAAGCUCUGCUCGCUGAGAAGGAUAAAGACUGCUGCUCUUCAUUAUCUGAUCUGACCAUCUUCAGUAGUCAUAUGGAUGCCGGAGAAAGUUUAAAGUAAAUAUAAGACUCAUCUGGCUGUGACUCAGUCUAGAAAAUAAAAACGUAUUAUUGCUUAAGAAAAUAGCCAGAAAAGAUAUGCAAAACUGUAGGGUGACUUUAGAGAGAAGUGUGGGAGCAAGUCUUUAGAGUCAUAUUGUACUCACAGCUGCUAUUUGGACAGAAAAGUGCAGUUUAGCCAUCUCUGUUUUUCACUCUAUUUCAUGUAAUCCAGAAUUCCACUUUUCAGGAGCAGAUCUUACCAAUUUGUUAAAGAUCUCCUUGAGGUCUUUCACGAGGAAAUCUUAUAGCUUCUGCCAUUAAUGCCAUGAGAUCUCUGACCUAGACUACUAGGACAGCAAUUUUAUGGGGCUAAACCAUAGGCUUACCCCAGAGAUAAGGCCAGUGCAGAAUUCAGAAAAUUAUUUUUUACGUGGCACCUCUUUCAAAUCAUGCCUGGUAUAAGGGCCCUCACACUUGCACUAGCUCUUUAAGGGUUACUAUUUCAGUCACAAGCUUUGCCCUGCAGUUCCACAAAGAUGCUGAAAAAAUGGUUCUCCCCAUUUCCAUAGCUGUACAGGUAUUAUCCAAGAAUGUCUGGUAUGGUGGUGGAUUCAAGAACAAAGGAAAGAAUGGGGCAGGGUUUUGGAUGAAUUUACCUGAUAUUUAGAGACUGCUUUUUUUCUUUCAAACUGAAACAAUUAUAAUUUUAUUUUAUUUAGGACAUGUUCAGAUAAUCACAAAUUUAAGGUAGUUAUUAAUAGUUAUAAGAUUAAAUUCUGUGUUAUAAAGUUAUCUAUAAUUAUUUUUGUCUAUUUUUGGAAACCAGUGACCUGCAAAGUUUGGGCAAGAGCUGUGGAUCCUGACUACUUUAUCAGGAAAACAACAGCAUUUCAGUGUCAAGAAACUGAGAAAACACAAAUUUUGCUUUGCUUAGAACAAGGUCUAUUAAAUUAAUGCCUGCAUUUGUUUUUAACCUAGUAGACUUUCUCUUCCCUCCACUCUCUCUUCUCCAUAUAUAGAAGUAUUCAACAGUUAUUAUAUAUUUGAAAUUCUUAGCUACCAGAAAGUAGCAUUAAUAGCUGGAAGUGCCUUUACAAAGGAAAUGUUCAUUAUUUUAUAGAUUGGAUAGACUUGGACUGUAAUUACAUACUCAAGAUCAUGAAGGAGACUCUUGAAAUUGUUUAGAAAUAAAGCUCUGAGCUACUUCCAAGCUUACGGCUGUUGUUGGUUUUGCCCUUUCCUAGAUGAUGUCAGACAAAUGAGGGAGUAAUAAGGAAUAAGGCAUCUAACUUUUAGACAAAUUGAACUCUAAAUUACCUAUAGCACUGACCAAGGAGACUUCAUCCUUAAGAACAAAAAACGUGAGAAAUCUGAGCUGGCUGUAGGAAGUAGUAUAGGACUUUGUGCUUUCUACCCAAAGAAAACCAAAGGUGGGACAGUCAAGCAAAUUACCACCUCCAUGAGGAACUGUGCUCUACCUGGUAACCUUUGUGGAAAGAGAUGAGUUACCAGAGCCCAACUUACAUGCAGUCACUCACAAAGCUACAGGCAGUCACCAGUGGAUGCUUGGACAUCUGCCCAACAACCCAUUUUUAAGCCAAGAAGUUAGACAUACGCCCCAGUCAACCCCCUUCACAGGAGCUGGGUAAAAAAGAAACACCACAUAUUACUCUUAAGGAUACCUGAGAUCCAAAGCUAUGGGACAGAACUAAGAAAAGUUUUUUUCCAUUCCUUUACAUGGAAUCCAGGACUCUGUGCACAAUUUCUUAAAGAUCUGCUGGAUCUGAGGGAUGGAGAUAGUAUGGUGAAAUAAAAUAAAUGCAUAAGCAAACUGGUAAGAGAUGGGCCAACUUUUCUAGCCAUGAAUGUUUCAUACCAAACAAACUAAUAAUAUUUUAAGAAUAGCCAAGUCAAACGUUACUUCAUAUUUAACUAAAAUGUUUUUAAAAGCAGAACAAACGACAACAAAUACUGAGCAAAAUCUUUCAAGCAAAUUGAAAUCAUUUUGUCCAUCACUGUUUUUAUUAUUAUUAUUAUUAUUAUUAUUAUUAUUCUGUCAGUGGAUCAGGAUAUUCAUUUUUGUGAUAGGUUCCAUUUAGUCUUUAUAAGAAGAAUUCAUGGUCUGUGGGAUGCUUUUCUCCUCCUGUGGGCUUGUGUAAUGGGUAUUGUGAGCCAUCACAUGGUUGUUCGGGAGAAGGUGCAACAGAAAAGGAUUUCUCUUAUUGCCAGAUAAAUUCUUUGAAGUAGGAUGGCUGCAAGCCUUUCCUCAUGCCACACUUUUCUGUGAGGACUAACAACAGCUGACCAACUUCAUCCCUGCCUCUUUUGUUUGCUGCCUUUGGCUUAUAGUCCACUGCCGGUGAAGAGUCAGAUGCCUCAGACUUAGAUGUUUUUAUGUCUAUCAGCCUCAUAGCUGGUUCCCAUAGCUUCUCACAUUGUUUUGAACCUGAAAAGGGGGCCAAGCUGAACACAUCCAAAUCCUUUCAUUUGAUCCUAGUUCACAUCAGCCAAAUGAAUGUGGAAUAUAAAGCACUGGAAGCAGAAGGUAAGGAUUAGGUUGAGUGCUGCCAGGCCUGUUCUGAAGAAGAGAUCUCAUUUAGGAUCCAUAUCUGUCAGUGAUGCUCACAGUUCUGAUACUGUACAUGGAAAGGUACAGAUGUUUGGAAAGUUCCCAAAACUCAGCAAAUUUAUUCUCCAAAGACAGGCAGCAAGACUUACUUACUGGCCUUCUAGUUCCCUUUGGCUGACUUCACCAAAAGAAAGAGUUUGUUCCCUUGGAGUACGCUUGUGUGGAGACUUGCAUAGUGAUGUGCAUGUGUUUCUUAAAGAAGAAGAAGAAAAAAAAAAAGCAGUAAAAGAAAAUCUCUGGUCAACGUAGUUUAUCCUGUAGAUUUCUAUUAUCCAAGCUAAAUGUAAAAGUGUUUACAGAAAAGAUAGUCUCUCCAAGACCACUGGGAUAGUAAGGCUGUGUUUUUUCUUCCUAAGAAGCUGUGUUUUUUCUUCCUAAGAAGUUGUGUUUUUUCUUCCUAAGAAGUUGUGUUUUGGAGAUGAGUUCUUCUGUACAUUCCCAGGUGUCUAACAUGCACAAAGCUCAAUUCUGUCACUGAAGUAAUUAACAGAGUCUCUCUUCUAAGCAGCUUGUCAGAACUUAAUAUCUCUGAUACCUUCACUUCUCUAAUUGUGGGCUCAAAUAUUUUUAGAGGAAGAUGGGCCAUGAAAAAGAGUGAGAGAUGAGUUGGCAUGAGUCAACUGAGUGUGUGUUUCUUUCACAGUCCCAGUGCAUGUCUCGUAUUCCCCCAAUAAUUUCACCCUUGUUACUGUUCCUUCACUUUUCUCUUCAUAUCAUGCAUGUAAUGCCCACCUUGAGCUUGCACAUAUGCCCACACACUAAACCACCACUAGGAAAUACUCUGCUACAGUACAUAUAUAAAAAUUACAUCACUUUAUUAAUCUUACAAUUAAAUUUGCUAGUCAGCUCUCACUGAGUUUUGUGUUUUGCACACAAUUUUCAUGGUAAGACUACUCAAUGGGACUGAUUAGUAUAAAAAGUCAUCUUCCAUCCACACUCUGGAGGUGGGAGCCAGUAGGGAGUGUGGAGGAGAGAGGACACACAAAACGGCAGAGAUUUCAGGAGCAGUGCUGACUCACUUCUAAAUUGCUUACUUGCUUUUAGAUCAAUUUUAUAUUUAUAGUGGGAGCCAUAAAUCUUAAGAAGACAAGAUUCCUAUUCAUGCUACUUUUCAUAACUUAUUUUGAACUCCCCACCUGAAGAACAGGCUGAAAGCCCCAUGACUGUAGUAUAUUAUCAUUCAUGAUGCCUGCCCAAGAAACGAGGCAAAUAGAUCUUACCAAAAAGAUAAAACACAUAAAUUUUAAGCCUCCUUACACGAUAUGUAAGUUCAAGCAAAUAUCAUCCAGUGGUGAAGUGACCUUCAAUAAUUUAGAAAAUUAUUUUUUUCAACUAAGAUUUUUGAAGUUUGUGAAAGCAUUUUAUUUCUUAUUUGCCUGUAUAUUAUACUAUUGAAGCGUCAAAAAUUUCCAAGGGUGAGAAAUUUCAGUUUCCAAUCCUUCCUUGAAGUUACACAGAUUUCCACAGAUUUCUCAUAAAUCUGAGAAGAUUUUACUUAAUUUAAUGGUUAUAUGAGAGAUUAGAAAAAUCCCCAUGGGAAAAAAAAAAAAAAAAAAAAAAGAAGACACAUGGAAAAUAGUUUUGUAAAUCAAAGAUUGUUGUGAUGAACUUUGUUUUAUUUUUUUCUGUUUUAUACAAAUGUCUUUAAUUAUUUAAUUUUAAUAAAAUUAAUUUUAAAUAAAAUUAAAUUAAAUUUUAAAAAAAUUAAUUUUAAUUAGUAACGGCAAAAUAAACAAAUAAUAUUAUGCUUUAAAUCUACUGAAUCUUUACAAACAAACUGAGCUUUAAAAUCACACAGCAUUAGAAGUAUGAUCUGAUGGGUUUUUUUUUGUUUUGUUAGGUUUUUUUUUUUUUGUAAUUAUUUUGCUAUGUUCUUAUUAUUCACUGAGCAAUUCCUACUGCAUACAGUAAGACUGGGAUUGAGAUCUAAGAUAGUUAUUUGAAAACAAAAUAAAGUUAUUUAUACACACAUACAUACACAUACAUAUAUGGUAUAAUUAUUUUUAUGUAUGCGAGUAUAUAGUCUAGCAAACUUUAGCAUAUAUCACAAUUUUCUUCUUUACUGGUGCACUACAUCCUGUUGAAAUAGUUAAAAAAAAAACUGUAAUUCUGAUCAGAGAUCAACGUGUGUUGAGCUCAUUGCAGCUAUACAUAACAUCCUCACAAGGUCUUGCAGAUGUUACUUAGGUUUGCCAAAGAGUUUCAACACUCUGGGUGAGGUCUUGAACUCAGGUUUCACCGAUCAAAUGUAAUCUGCAAGUCCUCCUUGAGGCAGAAAGGAAACUACACAAGUUUCAGAUGCACUGGUCAGCUGAUCUUUCCCAUAAACUUUUAUUUUGUUUUGGAAAAACCCAUGGCAAAAAGUUACUCUCCCAACACCAAAGAGGGCUUCAUGGGAAGUUUAUCAAAAGCAUCCAUGUGGGUAAACAGAGCUAAGUAUCAAUGUGCAGCACUUGCUUUGUUGUACUCAGGAUAAAUACAUUAGAAGGACUUAGAUUAACAGGAAGAAAUGUUACUCACUUUAUCUUAUUCAUGCUAUAAAAAUCUACUCCUUGAUGAGAACCUGAUUCAGUGCCUUGCAAACAUAAAUAUUUAAAGAAAAAUCACUGGGCUUCUGAUUAAUUAUUACUACUGCUUAUUUACCUUCAAUCCAUUGUAUCAUGCAUUGCAUUCUGAUAUAAUAAAGGAAAACUUGAAGGAUAUAAAUAGUAAAUAAGGAUAUAAUCAGGUUAAAGAGCCAUGAGGAAAAGACCAUUCCAUAAGUGUUUCCCAAUGCUGCUUUUUAGCCCACAGAAAAGAUAAGAUAAAGACAGUAUUAGUCAGAUGCAUGUUCACUCCCUCAAGUUUGUCAGCCACCCACGCAGUUCCCAUUUCAGCAAAAGUAAUAUAACAUGGUACCAGUAAUGUUUUAUCUCAUCAUAUUUUUGAAGAGCAAAUUCUCCACAGGGAAAAAUACUCUUGUGACACUGACCUUCCCAGUGAAUGGGGUUUUCCUGACCAUGAAGUUUCACUCAUCUAUUUUGACACUUGUUUUGGUACAGAGUGAGCCCUCUGGACGGAUUCUUGUGAGUUCUCUGAAAAGUCCUCAGUAAUUAUCAUCUUUUAUAUGUUCAGUUCCACCAAGCUGUGACAAAAUGAGAAUUCAGAAACAGUCAGACUGAAACAAUUUCAUACUUGGAGGAAAAAAAAAAAAAAAAAGAAGGAAGAAAGAAAAGAAAAGACAAGUUGCUCAAGAUCACUUGGAUUAGUGAAUAUAUGUCAUACAAAUAUACGCAAAAGGAAACACAGAUACAGGUACUUAGCACUGGUGGGCAUUUAGCUUUAAAAAGAGAGUUACUUUUGUCUCUUACUUCCAAAUUUAUGGUAACUUUGACAUAAAGUCAUUAUCUCCACUGCACUCAAUGGCAAGUGAAUUGGUUCCAAAGAUAUCAAUCUAACUAUCUGACACUGAUGCACAAAAUACUUCGAGUUACGGAUUGUUUUCAAAGAGGAAAAUGGCAUUUACCAUUCAAAAUGAUGCUUGAGAGGAAGCUAAUUUUGGCAAAAUAAUUCAAUCGAGAAGAUGCAGUUAGAUCCUCCUAUUUACCAAUUAUUUCAAGAAUAGCAACAGAGUUUCUGUACCUCUUCUUCCCUAGUAUUUAUGUGUGGUUUUCAUUUCCCUAUUUUUAGUUUCAUCUAGGCAGCUGAAAUGCUAAACCAUCAGACUAAAUAAUGAAAAGGAUGCAUGAGGCCAAAACAGUCACCAGGGGAGACAGUUUACUUUUACAUAGAUAAGCAGAUCUUUCUUAAGAAGAAGAUUUAUCUUUCUUAAUCUUCUUUCCAUUAAUGACCUCGGAGAUCUUAAAAGAUCUAUAACAGCUGCACUUAAAAAUGCUUGUGAUCAGUCUAAGUUAAUGCUUCAUUACUUAUGAUAAUUUUCAAACUUCUGGCAUAUCAGAGAGCUGAA
RNAcentral lists this long non-coding RNA (13167 nucleotides) under Gallus gallus (chicken). RNAcentral's name for it is "lncRNA (ENSGALG00010004663.1)". Lineage: Eukaryota; Metazoa; Chordata; Aves; Galliformes; Phasianidae. The record is from RNAcentral.